This is an RNA transcript of Drosophila persimilis, 2878 nucleotides long. It is a transcript of the gene named zinc finger CCCH domain-containing protein 18, with no coding region annotated. The record is from RefSeq and is a predicted model, not a curated record. Lineage: Eukaryota; Metazoa; Arthropoda; Insecta; Diptera; Drosophilidae. The transcript is spliced from 5 exons.
CUUGCUGCCUGCUGCUGCUGCCAUGGUAGCCAUCGUACGUCAUUCGGGUCUUUCAUUCUCGUGUUCAUCGUCCUUGCUGCUGGCCACAAUAACGGCACUGGCUCUCCUGUGCUACUGCUCCGACGCAUCCAUCCACCACUGCUUUGAACAGCACCGCGACAACCAGUUGGACUCUGCUACCGAAUCCGGAGACGCUGUAUGACGAACCAAAACAUCCUAAAAACUCCACGAAAAUAACUGAGAAUCGGCCCAAUAAAAUCGAAAACUGAAAAUCGAGCGACAAUCAACCUAAAAUACCAUAAAUUCACCGAGUUUCCGGCACUAUAGCAGGUAGGACAUCAGAAGACGUUUUUCCACUGGCUGUCAAUUUAGAAAUUGUAUAAAAUGGAUGCGCUGCGCUUACGUGGUUCGCAAUUCAAUCGUUAUGGAGGCAGCUCAGGGUCAGGCGGCAACAACCCGAACCAGCCUCCGCCACCGCAGGUGCACAGCAAGCCGGAGCCUUUGAUUGUAGUGGAGGAGUCCAACUUACCGGAGGAACUGGAGGACAGCUCAGAGACAACCUUUUCGAAUCGCGCCAGUCUGGACAUUGACUCGCCCGUGAACCCCUAUUUGCUCUCCCCUUGGCGGGACCCGCGCGAGGCCCGUAAGCACUCGCUGCCCUCACAGCAGGUGACCGAUGGAAUCACCGCCAGUCAGGUGAGGCGUCUGUCCGAGCGCGGCGGCGAGGGAUCCGGUCCAUCGCCCAAGGAGGCCGCCUUCCUCGCCACCCUCUCACAAGCGCCGGCCCCAUCUGGACGUCGCCACUCUGUGGUCACCAUCUCCAAGGUGCCCACCACCCUCUUUGGACGUUCGCGCCGCGAAUCGGUGGCCGCCUAUCCGAGCAGCAAUGGCAGCAGCCGUGUGCUCAACUCACGGCGGGAGAGCAACACGGGUCCUCCCUCUACAGACCCCAUCGGCAGCAUCCAUAACUUGCAACUGGACAUUAUGGACGACAUAUAUUUGCAGUCACGAAAGGCCCGUUUAAAGCUAUGGACCUCCAGCAAUGAGAAGGUCUGUGAGGUACAGACCGUUGAUGAGGCCGGGACCGCGGCCCCGGGUAGGCGCUACACCAACCGCCGCUUUUCGGAGUGCCCCCAGCCGCAACCAGCCAGCAGCUUUCGCCGGGCCUCUGAAUAUCCGCAUCCACCGCCGCAGCCGCUUCCGCAUGCACAAACACACGGACAUGGGCACGCGCCUUCAUCGCAGAAGAGCAUCUCGCCCCAGCCGCCGUUGUCGGCCAGGGCCUCGACACGCCGCAAGAAGUCGGGCAGUGGCGUAGGCCUGCUUGGAAGCCGCACAGACAUCGCUGGGAUCUUCAGCUCUUUGACCAGCUCUGCCAUGGACAUGCACCGCUCAGAGCCGGAGGGGAGCUCCAGUGCCAGUGCCAGCUCUUCAGCGGCCACCGCUGGAAGCAGCCCGUUUCUCAGCCAGACGUUCCAAAACGCCGCCCGGGGCCGCGCUACUAGUGCCACGCCUACGCCCACGGCCCACACUGGGGGGCAGGCGGCCGCAGCAAGCAGCAGCUCACUGCUAGACCCAAAUGCAGGCCGCUCCACACGAUCCAACAGCUUCGACGUCUCGAUCCUGAACAACGCCAAGCAGUUGGUGAGCGAGGCGCAGGACAACAGCUCUGCCGCCAUAUCCGGGUGGUUCGGCAAGCCGGCAAGUCGCCCCCAGCCGAUGGCCCGCAAGAAAAGUGUGCGCAGCAAGAGCACGGCCAUGGCCCUCUCAAAGGACAUGUUGGAGCGACUGCAGAAGAAGGACCCGCUCGGCGGAGACUCCGGAAAACCGAAGCUCAAGCCGCGCAGCAAGCAGAAGAGCUGGGCCGACACCACCAAGGCGAACAUCGUGGAUGCGACCAUGCUGGGCACGGCGAUCGAGGGUUUCCUUCGCAAGAGCUCCAAUGCCGGGAUGGCCGGAGCCGGAGGUUCUAGCGGACCAUCCACAUCGGCGGCGGUCCGCGGGGCUGUUCCCAAGGAGUCAAACAGUGCUACCGGCAGUCCGGCCGGAGCCCGUCGCAGCCGGGCGUCCGCGGGCAGUGGCGCCCAGUCUCAGGCCGGGCGGGCAAUGCGCUCCACUUUCAACUGGUUCAGCAAGGGCGAGGAGGAUGACUCGAAGGACACGUGCGAUGCGUCGCUGUGUUCGACACUCAAGGACCUAUUCGUGAAAUAGGUCGGGGGACGCAGAGGCAAGUAAAGCUCUGGGACUGACCCACCAACAGAUCCAGGCCGUUCAGCAAAGGCGAGCUACUUGUAUCUCUGAGAUCCGGAAAUAUUCGUAUCAUUUGUUAACCAUUGGAAGAAGCCGACAGGUAAAGCGAACUUCAACACAAGACACCAGUUAGGCACUUGAAACACUAUAUUGAACAGUUUAUUAGAUGCAAUACUAGUUGGAACAGUUUAUAAUCAAGAUUACGAUUUACGGAAGCUGAAGCAGCCAUAUUGGCACUGCAGAGUUAUAGUAAUAGAUCUCUUCAGAAAAAUAUACAUGUUCAUACUAGUUACUAGUAGAAGUGCAUAGGCAUAUCACUCACAUACCAACACGAGCCAUUGAGACAGUGACGACCCGACCCAAUCAUUCAUCGUAAUAGACAAACAGUCACAAUAGCAUAGUUGUAUAAGCUGACAGUCAAACAUAUUUACAGAUCACUUACAGUAACUGAACGAGAACCUAUGUAGAUAUGUGAGACAAACGAAUGCCUAACAGUAAGUGCAGCAAGUGGAACAGGAAUAAUGAGUAUUAGAACAAUAACCGUGCCUCUAACACUAAUUACAACUGAUACAAACUCAGUCACACGAACAUUGACACUAACACUAAGCAAAGUAGCAAAUAAUGCAAA